CCCUUAGAUGUUCUGGGCCGCACGCGCGCUACACUGACGAAUGCAACGAGCUUAUAACCUUGGCCGAAAGGUCUGGGUAAUCUCCAAAUUUCGUCGUGAUGGGGAUAGAUUAUUGCAAUUAUUAAUCUUCAACGAGGAAUGCCUAGUAAGCGCAAGUCAUCAGCUUGCGUUGAUUACGUCCCUGCCCUUUGUACACACCGCCCGUCGCUCCUACCGAUUGAAUGGUUCGGUGAAAACUUUGGACUGUGGCAUUGUCCUUCAUUGGACUUCGCCGUAGGAAAUUGUUUAAACCUCAUCAUUUAGAGGAAGAAUAAGUCGUAACA
RNAcentral lists this ribosomal RNA (323 nucleotides) under uncultured eukaryote. RNAcentral describes it as "partial 18S ribosomal RNA". It matches the Rfam family "Eukaryotic small subunit ribosomal RNA", at positions 1470 to 1796 of the family's 1831-position model. The record is from RNAcentral.